Molecule: ribosomal RNA, 400 nt
Filed under: uncultured bacterium
Lineage: Bacteria
Description: bacterial SSU rRNA
Rfam family: Bacterial small subunit ribosomal RNA
Source: RNAcentral
UGGGGAAUUUUGGACAAUGGGGGCAACCCUGAUCCAGCCAUGCCGCGUGCGGGAAGAAGGCCUUCGGGUUGUAAACCGCUUUUGGUCGGGAAGAAAAGGCCGCCGCUAAUACCGGUGGUACUUGACGGUACCGGCAGAAUAAGCACCGGCUAACUACGUGCCAGCAGCCGCGGUAAUACGUAGGGUGCGAGCGUUAAUCGGAAUUACUGGGCGUAAAGCGUGCGCAGGCGGUUAGUUAAGUCUGAUGUGAAAGCCCCGGGCUCAACCUGGGAAUGGCAUUGGAAACUGGCUGGCUAGAGUGUGGCAGAGGGGGGUGGAACUCCGCGUGUAGCAGUGAAAUGCGUAGAGAUGCGGAAGAACACCGAUGGCGAAGGCAGCCCCCUGGGCCAACACUGACGCU